GAUGAACGCUGGCGGCGUGCUUAACACAUACAAGUCGAACGGAAAGGCCCAAGCUUGCUUGGGUACUCGAGUGGCGAACGGGUGAGUAACACGUGUGUGUUCUGCCCUGCACUUCGGGAUAAGCCUGGGAAACUGGGUCUAAUAUUGGAUAGGACCACUUCUUGGAUGUUGUGGUGGAAAGUUUUUUCGGUGUGGGGUGAGCUCGCGGCGUAUCGGCUUGUUAUUGGGGUAAUGGUCUACCAACGCGUCGACGGGUAGCCGGCCCGUGGGGGUGUACAGCCGCAUUGGGACCGAGAGACGGCCCAGACGGCUAAGGUAGGCAGAAGGGGGGAAUAUUGCACAAGGGACACAAGCCUGAUGCAGCGAGGCCGCGGGGUGGAUGACCGCCUUCGUGUUGUAAAAACCUAUCGGUAGGGACGAAGGGUUUUGUGACGGUACCUGAAGAAGAAGCACCGGCUAACUACGUG
Molecule: ribosomal RNA, 467 nt
Filed under: uncultured bacterium
Lineage: Bacteria
Description: partial 16S ribosomal RNA
Rfam family: Bacterial small subunit ribosomal RNA
Source: RNAcentral